UACGUAGGGUGCGAGCGUUAAUCGGAAUUACUGGGCGUAAAGCGUGCGCAGGCGGUUUUGUAAGCCAGGUGUGAAAUCCCCGGGCUCAACCUGGGAAUGGCAUUUGGGACUGCAAGGCUGGAGUGUGGCAGAGGAGACUGGAAUUCCUGGUGUAGCAGUGAAAUGCGUAGAUAUCAGGAGGAAUACCGAUGGCGGAGGCAGGUCUCUGGGCUGACACUGACGCUCAUGCACGAAAGCGUGGGGAGCAAACAGG
This 253-nucleotide ribosomal RNA is filed under the name uncultured bacterium. Its description in RNAcentral is "partial 16S ribosomal RNA". It matches the Rfam family "Bacterial small subunit ribosomal RNA", at positions 524 to 776 of the family's 1533-position model. The record is from RNAcentral.